Pseudorhodobacter antarcticus is the source of this 117-nucleotide regulatory RNA element. It matches the Rfam family "ALIL pseudoknot". Lineage: Bacteria; Pseudomonadati; Pseudomonadota; Alphaproteobacteria; Rhodobacterales; Paracoccaceae. The record is from Rfam.
AGCUUAUUUUGCGCAGGCGGAACUCGACCGCCCGUUCAAGCCAUGAUCGGCUUUAUUGAUGAUCAUCGCGUGGUCCAUGGGGUCGAGUCGAUCUGCAGGGUGCUGCCGAUUGCCCCA